This is a long non-coding RNA of Drosophila yakuba, 447 nucleotides long. RefSeq lists it as uncharacterized. NCBI's taxonomy places the organism in Eukaryota, Metazoa, Arthropoda, Insecta, Diptera, Drosophilidae. The record is from RefSeq and is a predicted model, not a curated record. The transcript has 2 exons.
AAAGAACAGGAACAAGAUGUGAAAACGCCCCAUUCCGCUGGCAUUUAGUUGUCCCUGUGCCGAGUAACCAUUAUUAUCGUACUUGGAUCAGUCUUCGCAUGCAGCGGGAAUUUAGGGUGGUAGUAAAAGUUGAAAAGAAUUGGAAACUUACUGCACCUACCUUCCAGAACUCAACAAAGUCGUGCAGCGAGGUGAACGCCACAUACAGGCAGUAGACGAGCGCGUAGCCCAGGAACAGAACGAAGUACUUGUAGUUGUAAAAGUUGACGCAGUUGUUUACCCAGGGGCAGUGGUGAUCCAUCUUCAGUACACAGCAACUGCACACACUACAGUGGUGAGCUCGGUCUGGCUUUAUGAUCUUGCAUUUCUCGCAGAACCGCACCGAACCAUUCAUUGUGCUGUUGAGCAAAUGUUUAAAUAUUAUCAAAAAUGUUUGGAAAUACGUUA